GAUGAAGAACGUAGCGAAAUGCGAUACGUAAUGUGAAUUGCAGAUCUCUCAGUGAACCAUCGAAUUUUUGAACGCACAUUGCGCCCGCCAGCAUUCUGGCGGGCAUGCCUGUUCGAGCGUCAUUUCAACCCUCGAGCCCCCCCGGGGGCCUCGGUGUUGGGGGACGGCACACGAGCCGCCCCCGAAAUGCAGUGGCGACCCCGCCGCAGCCUCCCCUGCGUAGUAGCACACACCUCGCACCGGAGCGCGGAGGCGGUCACGCCGUAAAACGCCCAACUUUCUUAGAGUUGACCUCGGAUCAGGUAGGAAUACCCGCUGAACUUAAGCAUAUCAAUAAGCGGAGGA
RNAcentral lists this unclassified non-coding RNA (345 nucleotides) under soil metagenome. Its description in RNAcentral is "partial contains 5.8S ribosomal RNA, internal transcribed spacer 2, and large subunit ribosomal RNA". The stretch from base 1 to 122 matches the Rfam family "5.8S ribosomal RNA", at positions 35 to 154 of the family's 154-position model. The record is from RNAcentral.